RNAcentral lists this ribosomal RNA (460 nucleotides) under uncultured bacterium. Its description in RNAcentral is "partial 16S ribosomal RNA". It matches the Rfam family "Bacterial small subunit ribosomal RNA", at positions 338 to 795 of the family's 1533-position model. The record is from RNAcentral.
CCUACGGGCGGCAGCAGUGAGGAAUAUUGGUCAAUGGGCGCGAGUCUGAACCAGCCAUGUCGCGUGCAGGAUGACUGCUCUAUGGGUUGUAAACUGCUUUUAUACAGGAAUAAAGUGAGUCACGUGUGCCUAUUUGUAUGUAUUUUACGAAUAAGGAUCGGCUAACUCCGUGCCAGCAGCCGCGGUAAUACGGAGGAUCCGAGCGUUAUCCGGAUUUAUUGGGUUUAAAGGGUGCGUAGGUGGGUGGUUAAGUUAGUUGUUAAAGGUUGGGGCUAAACCCUUAGAUUGCACUUGAUACUGUGCGACUAGAGAGCAGAUGAAGCAGGCGGAAUGAGUAGUGUAGCGGUGAAAUGCUUAGAUAUCACGAAGAACUCCGAUUGCGAAGGCAGCUUACUAAUCCGCCACUGACAUUGAUGCUCGAAAGUGUGGGUAUCGAACAGGAUUAGAUACCCGAGUAGUC